This 585-nucleotide ribosomal RNA is filed under the name uncultured bacterium. RNAcentral describes it as "partial 16S ribosomal RNA". It matches the Rfam family "Bacterial small subunit ribosomal RNA", at positions 355 to 937 of the family's 1533-position model. The record is from RNAcentral.
UGGGGAAUUUUGGACAAUGGGCGAAAGCCUGAUCCAGCAAUGCCGCGUGUGUGAAGAAGGCCUUCGGGUUGUAAAGCACUUUUGUCCGGAAAGAAAUCCUUGGCUCUAAUACAGUCGGGGGAUGACGGUACCGGAAGAAUAAGCACCGGCUAACUACGUGCCAGCAGCCGCGGUAAUACGUAGGGUGCAAGCGUUAAUCGGAAUUACUGGGCGUAAAGCGUGCGCAGGCGGUUUGCUAAGACCGAUGUGAAAUCCCCGGGCUCAACCUGGGAACUGCAUUGGUGACUGGCAGGCUAGAGUAUGGCAGAGGGGGGUAGAAUUCCACGUGUAGCAGUGAAACGCGUAGAGAUGUGGAGGAAUACCGAUGGCGAAGGCAGCCCCCUGGGCCAAUACUGACGCUCAUGCACGAAAGCGUGGGGAGCAAACAGGAUUAGAUACCCUGGUAGUCCACGCCCUAAAACGAUGUCAACUAGUUGUUGGGGAUUCAUUUCCUUAGUAACGUAGCUAACGCGUGAAGUUGACCGCCUGGGGAGUACGGUCGCAAGAUUAAAACUCAAAUGAAUUGACGGGGUCAUAGCUGUUCCU